Molecule: long non-coding RNA, 908 nt
Organism: Pseudopipra pipra
Lineage: Eukaryota; Metazoa; Chordata; Aves; Passeriformes; Pipridae
Exons: 2
Source: RefSeq, a predicted model, not a curated record
GCAAGGUGUGGUGCACAGGGUGGGUUGCACACAGCGUGGGGUGCAGAGCAUGCCCAGGGGCACAGGGGUUCUCACUGUAGCAGGGGUUCCCUGCGCUGGGAUGUCAUCCUGGUGCUCUGCAGCACAUCCCCGUGUCCUGCAGCUCAUGCUGGUGCCCUGCAGCACAGCCCGGGCUGUGAAGCCCAUCCCCUUGUCCUGCAGCCCAUCCCCGUGUCCUGCGGCCCAUCCCCGUGUCCCACAGCCCAUCCCCGUGUCCCGCAGCCCAUCCCCGUAUCCUGCAGCCCAUCCCCGUGUCCUGCGGCCCAUCCCCGUGUCCUGCGGCCCAUCCCCGUAUCCUGCAGCCCAUCCCCGUGUCCCGCAGCCCAUCCCCGUGUCCCGCAGCCCAUUCCCGGUGGCUCCGGUCACGAGGUGGCGCUGCGAGCCCGCGCUGCGACACGAGGAGCCCAGAACCCGGCACCCAGCACCGUGUGACUUCAUCCUGCACCCUGUGACCGCAUCCUGCACCCCGAGCCCUCAUCCUGCACCCCGAGCCCUCAUCCUCCAUCCUGUGACCUCAUCCUGCACCCCGAACUCUCAUCCUGCACCCUGUGACCUCAUCCUGCGCCCUGAACCCUCAUCCUGCAACCUGUGACCUUAUCCAGUAAACCGGAGACAUUUCAAACCCCCGGCAGAUACACCCCAAAAUGACUGAGGAAACUGAGGCAGGGCAAUCAGGGUGGCUCUGGCUGUGCUGCUAUGGCUGCCUCUGACAUCCCUGGAUUUUGGGAUUUAGGAGAGAAACACCCCCAUGGCAGGUUGAUGUGAUUGUCCCAUCCUGCUUUGUUUAUCCACCCAAGGUAUCCCAAGGAGCUCAAACCACAGGCAACCCUGGCUGUAUAAUUUAAUGAGAAUAAAUUUAAAAAAAAACC